This is a non-coding RNA of Drosophila melanogaster (fruit fly), 849 nucleotides long. NCBI's taxonomy places the organism in Eukaryota, Metazoa, Arthropoda, Insecta, Diptera, Drosophilidae. The record is from Ensembl.
AAGCAAGUCGAAUCUUCCAGAAAUCUUGUGCACAUUUCAUAUUGUCAUCAUGUAAGGGCGGACUCGGCGAGGGCAGGAAGGACGAAGGGCGUGGCCAUAGGCGUCAAAGUCCCGCACACCCACACACACAUAAGCUCAGCACAACGCUGUGUGUACAUGCGCUUGUUUGUUUGUGCUGCUGGGCGCGCACAUGCAUAUGAAAACCGCUUUCGUUUCCGGAGCAGGAGCGACUUGAAAAUGGCGCACGGCAUGGAGUCGGCGGUGGCCAUUGUUGUUGCUGCCGCCAUCAGAUAGAUAGGUGCAAAAAAGUAGCAACUCCAGCUUAACAACCACGAGGAAGGGGAUGACAAUCUGGAUGGCAGACAGGUGAAAGGGGUUGGCGGGCGAGUUGGCACCGAGAGUUGACAACAAGAUAUACAACCGAAAAAAGAAAGUGAAAUGGAAAUGGAAAAUGGAAAAUACAAAAUGCAAGCAAUCCAGGUAUCUGGUUGUCUGGUUGCCAGCGACAACGACAACUACAAGGAUAGCGACAAGUCGACAGAGUUUGCAGCCCGGGCAUUAACAAUAGCAAAGUGUUUUCUUUCCAACGACCAACAGCGCUUGGCUACGAGGCUACGAGGCUACGAUCUGACGUUCUUAUCUUUGCAAGCCAUAUGGGCAAAGGUAACACAGACCCAGAAACAAGGUCAAAGGCCGUCGACGGGCGGCGGACGGCGGACGAAAGCCAGCUGGACAGAGACAAAUGGAUGCAGUGAGAGUGGAAUUCAAAUGAAAAUGCAAAUGCGAAUUCAAACCAAACGGUGCCAGAGACAACACUGAUUAAAGGCAGCCGAGCAUAAAGAAUAAUGU